RNAcentral lists this ribosomal RNA (468 nucleotides) under uncultured bacterium. RNAcentral's name for it is "partial 16S ribosomal RNA". It matches the Rfam family "Bacterial small subunit ribosomal RNA", at positions 28 to 507 of the family's 1533-position model. The record is from RNAcentral.
GACGAACGCUGGCGGCGUGCUUAACACAUGCAAGUCGAACGGAAAGGCCCUGCUUUUGUGGGGUGCUCGAGUGGCGAACGGGUGAGUAACACGUGAGUAACCUGCCCUUGACUUUGGGAUAACUUCAGGAAACUGGGGCUAAUACCGGAUAGGAGCUCCUGCUGCAUGGUGGGGGUUGGAAAGUUUCGGCGGUUGGGGAUGGACUCGCGGCUUAUCAGCUUGUUGGUGGGGUAGUGGCUUACCAAGGCUUUGACGGGUAGCCGGCCUGAGAGGGUGACCGGCCACAUUGGGACUGAGAUACGGCCCGGACUCCUACGGGAGGCAGCAGUGGGGAAUAUUGCACAAUGGGCGGAAGCCUGAUGCAGCAACGCCGCGUGCGGGAUAACGGCCUUCGGGUUGUAAACCGCUUUCGCCUGUGACGAAGCGUGAGUGACGGUAAUGGGUAAAGAAGCACCGGCUAACUACGUG